UCUAGGAGCCUCAGUCAGUUU
RNAcentral lists this non-coding RNA (21 nucleotides) under Arabidopsis thaliana (thale cress). The record is from RNAcentral. Lineage: Eukaryota; Viridiplantae; Streptophyta; Magnoliopsida; Brassicales; Brassicaceae.